Molecule: long non-coding RNA, 342 nt
Filed under: Oryctolagus cuniculus (rabbit)
Lineage: Eukaryota; Metazoa; Chordata; Mammalia; Lagomorpha; Leporidae
Description: lncRNA (ENSOCUG00000034422.1)
Source: RNAcentral
AUGGAGGACGAAAUGUCCAGCUCGGUUGCUUGGCAGAUAGGGAGGAGGAAGCCUGAGGACCUGGAUGAAAAUUUUAGCUGUGUUGACCUCGGAGAAUCUCAGCGUGUCCUUGUUAUGCUCCGUACUAGUUGUAGACUCCAGAACAAGACUUCGACGUCAGAUACGCUUGGGUUGGAAAUCCUCCUUCCGCUUCUCGCAUCAACACAAGGGGUGCACGUUCUUGUGCAACCAAGUCCCAGAUCAAGAUCAAUCAAUCAAAUAUUGCCAGCAUUCCGGGUGCCUUCCGUGCGUCGGCUGACUCGUCACCUCUCCUCGCCUUCGCACGAGAUAACAUUCUUCUAA